UCGGCGUCCUUAAAUGGGCGAGAGAGGCGAUUCCAAUAGAACUCUAUUAGGGUUUUGGCAGGCCUCCUGCUCCGCCGUCGGCCUCUCGCCACCCUUUCUCUCCAUUAGAUGAUAUCCAGAGAUUACAAGUGGAGAUGGAGCUACAUAAUUGAAUAAUUCCUCAUCAACUUUAAACCAGCCAACUGUGGGCACUCUUGGAAACUACCAAGAGACUGUUUAAGCAAUGGGCUUGAGCCUGGUAUGCCUGAGGGAUUGCUUUGCAGUUCACCCAAAGCUCUAUUCAUUUUAUCGGAUAUGUUGUUCAAAAUAAUUAUGCUAAUUUGCUUUUUCAAAGAUUUAUCGAUGUUGUUUGUAUCAGUUCCUCGUGACUGUAAAUUUAUGGAGUUGAAUCAGUAUCUGAACAUAUUUUUGGUUGCGGC
Long non-coding RNA from Musa acuminata subsp. malaccensis (wild Malaysian banana), 419 nucleotides. RefSeq lists it as uncharacterized. The record is from RefSeq and is a predicted model, not a curated record. Lineage: Eukaryota; Viridiplantae; Streptophyta; Magnoliopsida; Zingiberales; Musaceae.